This 649-nucleotide ribosomal RNA is filed under the name uncultured bacterium. RNAcentral's name for it is "bacterial SSU rRNA". It matches the Rfam family "Bacterial small subunit ribosomal RNA", at positions 748 to 1395 of the family's 1533-position model. The record is from RNAcentral.
GAGGCGCGAAAGCGUGGGGAGCGAACAGGAUUAGAUACCCUGGUAGUCCACGCCGUAAACGAUGAGUGCUAAGUGUUAGAGGGUUUCCGCCCUUUAGUGCUGCAGCAAACGCAUUAAGCACUCCGCCUGGGGAGUACGGUCGCAAGACUGAAACUCAAAGGAAUUGACGGGGGCCCGCACAAGCGGUGGAGCAUGUGGUUUAAUUCGAAGCAACGCGAAGAACCUUACCAGGUCUUGACAUCCUUCGCUACUUCUAGAGAUAGAAGGUUCCCCUUCGGGGGACGAAGUGACAGGUGGUGCAUGGUUGUCGUCAGCUCGUGUCGUGAGAUGUUGGGUUAAGUCCCGCAACGAGCGCAACCCUUGAUCUUAGUUGCCAGCAUUCAGUUGGGCACUCUAAGAUGACUGCCGGUGACAAACCGGAGGAAGGUGGGGAUGACGUCAAAUCAUCAUGCCCCUUAUGACCUGGGCUACACACGUGCUACAAUGGAUGGUACAAAGGGCUGCGAGACUGCGAAGUUAAGCGAAUCCCAUAAAACCAUUCUCAGUUCGGAUUGCAGGCUGCAGCUCGCCUGCAUGAAGCUGGAAUCGCUAGUAAUCGCGGAUCAGCAUGCCGCGGUGUUUUCGUUCCCGGGCCUUGUACACACCGCCC